Molecule: small RNA, 261 nt
Filed under: Histoplasma capsulatum
Lineage: Eukaryota; Fungi; Ascomycota; Eurotiomycetes; Onygenales; Ajellomycetaceae
Also listed under: 1 other name
Description: hypothetical RNA
Source: RNAcentral
CUCUUCUCACAAUUCUGCUCUGUGCUUGUGUAGUCUCUAACAAUUUCUUCAUAUAAUCCUUAACAUUCUUCUGCUCUGUGCUUCACUGCAGUAUGAUCUCUGAUAUUCUUCUGUCUCAAUUCUUCUUUUAUAAGAACUCUCUUAUAUAACCUCUUCUUCUGAUCUUUCUUCUCUUUCUUUUCUUAAUCAAUUCAUAAACUGUUAUCAGAAUAGUGUCAAGUCUGUUGAUAUUGCUAUUGAAAUGAAUUGUAUGAACUGCAC